GACGAACGCUGGCGGCGUGCUUAACACAUGCAAGUCGAACGGAAAGGCCCUGCUUUUGUGGGGUGCUCGAGUGGCGAACGGGUGAGUAACACGUGAGUAACCUGCCCUUGACUUUGGGAUAACUUCAGGAAACUGGGGCUAAUACCGGAUAGGAGCUCCUGCUGCAUGGUGGGGGUUGGAAAGUUUCGGCGGUUGGGGAUGGACUCGCGGCUUAUCAGCUUGUUGGUGGGGGAGGGGCUGACCAAGGCUUUGACGGGUAGCCGGCCUGGGAGGGUGACCGGCCACAUUGGGCCUGAGGUAGGGCCCAGACUCCUACGGGAGGCAGCAGUGGGGAGUAUUGCACAGUGGGCGGGAGUCUGAUGCAGCAACGCCGCGUUCGGGAUGACGGCCUUCGGGUUGUAAACCGCUUUCGCCUGUGACGAAGCGGGAGUGACGGUAAUGGAUAAAGAAGCACCGGCUAACUACGUG
Molecule: ribosomal RNA, 468 nt
Filed under: uncultured bacterium
Lineage: Bacteria
Description: partial 16S ribosomal RNA
Rfam family: Bacterial small subunit ribosomal RNA
Source: RNAcentral